This 429-nucleotide ribosomal RNA is filed under the name Actinomycetes bacterium. RNAcentral describes it as "Actinobacteria bacterium partial 16S ribosomal RNA". It matches the Rfam family "Bacterial small subunit ribosomal RNA", at positions 355 to 776 of the family's 1533-position model. The record is from RNAcentral. Lineage: Bacteria; Bacillati; Actinomycetota; Actinomycetes.
UAGGGAAUCUUCCGCAAUGGGCGAAAGCCUGCCGGAGCAACGCCGCGUGAGUGAUGAAGGUCUUCGGAUCGUAAAACUCUGUUAUUAGGGAAGAACAAAUGUGUAAGUAACUAUGCACGUCUUGACGUUACCUAAUCAGAAAGCCACGGCUAACUACGUGCUAGCAGCCUCGGUAAUACGUAGGUUGCAAGCGUUAUCCGGAAUUAUUGGGCGUAAAGCGCGCGUAGGCGGUUUUUUAAGUCUGAUGUGAAAGCCAACGGCUCAACCGUGGAGGGUCAUUGGAAACUGGAAAACUUGAGUGCAGAAGGGGAAAGUGGAAUUCCAUGUGUAGCGGUGAAAUGCGCAGAGAUAUGGAGGAACACCAGUGGCGAAGGAGACUUUCUGGUCUGUAACUGACGCUGAUGUGCGAAAGCGUGGGGAUCAAACAGG